Small nucleolar RNA from Triplophysa dalaica, 313 nucleotides. Lineage: Eukaryota; Metazoa; Chordata; Actinopteri; Cypriniformes; Nemacheilidae. The record is from RefSeq and is a predicted model, not a curated record.
GCCCAAUGAUGAGACCAAGGCGAAUGUGAUCUCACUGGUUAAGAUCCUGAGCUCUCCUGUUUUCCUAUUGGCUGGUAAUCUUGGCUGGGCAGUGGAGAUUUGCUGCUUUGCUGUAAGGGCCUGCCUACAUUAAACAAAGCCCCUCCCAUUAUCUUAUCCGCAAAGAAAUGCAGGAGAGAGAGAUGGAAGGGGUGGUCAGUGUGUGUGCGUGUGCGUGUGCGUGUGUGUGUGUGUGUGUGUGGAUACAGGACGAGACUUGGUUAUCUGUAAUAUCCAGUGGGCAGUGAACUGCUUCUUAAAUAAUCUGAGGGCA